Molecule: ribosomal RNA, 434 nt
Filed under: uncultured Pseudobutyrivibrio sp.
Lineage: Bacteria; Bacillati; Bacillota; Clostridia; Lachnospirales; Lachnospiraceae
Description: partial 16S ribosomal RNA
Rfam family: Bacterial small subunit ribosomal RNA
Source: RNAcentral
ACAGAAGGCAGCAGUGGGGAAUAUUGCACAAUGGGCGAAAGCCUGAUGCAGCGACGCCGCGUGAGCGAAGAAGUAUUUCGGUAUGUAAAGCUCUAUCAGCAGGGAAGAUAAUGACGGUACCUGACUAAGAAGCACCGGCUAAAUACGUGCCAGCAGCCGCGGUAAUACGUAUGGUGCAAGCGUUAUCCGGAUUUACUGGGUGUAAAGGGAGCGUAGGCGGUUUUACAAGUCUGAUGUGAAAGCCCGGGGCUCAACGCCGGUAUUGCAUUGGAAACUGUAGAACUAGAGUGUCGGAGGGGUAAGUGGAAUUCCUAGUGUAGCGGUGAAAUGCGUAGAUAUUAGGAGGAACACCAGUGGCGAAGGCGGCUUACUGGACGAUUACUGACGCUGAGGCUCGAAAGCGUGGGGAGCAAACAGGAUUAGAUACCCUGGUA